This 393-nucleotide ribosomal RNA is filed under the name Triticum aestivum (bread wheat). RNAcentral describes it as "partial small subunit ribosomal RNA". The record is from RNAcentral. Lineage: Eukaryota; Viridiplantae; Streptophyta; Magnoliopsida; Poales; Poaceae.
AUGUACAAACACGCCAUGGUUGUCUCACCAAAACAGCGUCUCGAUUGCCUUGAAUCAGCCAUGGGCUUUUCCUGUUUCCACAAGUUACCUCUUGAGGCAGAAGUAGCACUCCUGAAAUUAGUCCUAGGGAGUUUUUCGCCAGUAAUUUUGGAGGCUAUAAGAGAACUCUGCAGGCCCUCGAGCAACUGCAUUACAGAAAACAGCAAGGCUAAGUUAGCAGAUGUAUCAAACUCCGUAAAACAAGUGUAUGUAGAGGUUCGGCAGCAAGUUCAGACAUGUAACAAGCACACAAUGGGGAAAAACAGUCACAUCGCUCAGAUUUAUUCUAAAGGGAGCAACACUAGUAUAGAAACUCAUAACAGUAAUGAGACUUCUGACAAAAGUCUAGAAUGA